This is a long non-coding RNA of Homo sapiens (human), 2543 nucleotides long. Ensembl annotates it as hepatocellular carcinoma up-regulated long non-coding RNA. Its record names the gene HULC. Lineage: Eukaryota; Metazoa; Chordata; Mammalia; Primates; Hominidae. The record is from Ensembl.
GCAUUGUUUCGAUAGUGCUGCUUAAUUCUUGGAAGGUUCUUCGGACUUCACACAUUCCAGCAGUAGCUCUCUCAGCUCCUGUCCUGCACAGCUUUGAAGUGCUGGUGAUGUCAUUGAACUCUUAAGUGCAAGAUGAAACAAGUCUUUCUGGGGUUCUAAGUAGCGUCUUCAAAGUGUCUUCUGUAAAGACUUCUUCAGACUGUCAAUAGGAAGACUGAUAAACUCAGUUCAGAUGCGAGAGGAAAUCGAGUCAUCAUCAAUGGCACCUCAUGUUAGCCUGCCAUGGCAACAAGCUCAUUGAUUGAGUAAAAGAACUUUCAGAUGCACUAGCUGGUCUUUAACGGGUUGCUGAAAGCACAGAUAAGACGACUGAGGGAGCCGACUGAAUUUCCAUGGAUAUAUACAAAGGGAAUGGAAAAUCACAGUACGAUUUUUCAUUGGCUCCUGAUAGAGCUAGGUCCUUGUAUAAUUCUAAAACUGGUGUAUAAAACAAUGUCCACGCCAUUCAUUUUGGUUAUAACUAUUAAGGGGAAGGGAGAUGAUGUCUGUGGAAUUGCAAAGUAGUUUGCACUAGAAUUUUCUAUUACAUAUGCUCUAAUAGGAGUAUUUUCCUCUGUUACAUUAUGACUUAUGUAAUAAUAAUAGCUAAGGAUUACUGAGGGUUUUUAUUUUCUUUUCUGCAUGAUCUUGACCGUUUUUCGAAACAGUCCUUGUUGCUGGAUACUAUUUAUGUCACCAUUUUACAAAUGAGAAUGCCAAAGUUCAGAGUGACAUCCAUCUAAAAGAGGCCAGUUUCAGCCUUGAACCCAUUAUACUCUAAUCCCAUUUUCAAAGUAACUCUUGGUUUUCUCAAAAGGCCUUUAAAUGUAUGGAUAAGCCAAUAUGAGGGCAGCAAUGUUGUGGUUAAGUGUGUGCACUUUGGUUGGACUCUGCCGAAGGCCAGCACCACCAUUUAGUAGCUAUGUGAACCAGUGAGUUACUUAAAACCUAUACCUCCACUUCCUCAUCUGCAAAAUGGGGUUGUGGUAAGGCUGGAAUAAGUUAAUGCAUGUAGCAUGUUGAGAAGGCACUGUCUAAGCGCAUGGCACAUGGUAAGCAUGUAGGAAACAGCAACACAUGCCUGGGUCUGAGUUCUGCUCUGUCAUGAUGAUUGGUGCCCAACGGGAAAAGCUCUUCCGCACCAGCGUUUUACAAGCCUAGCUCCUCCUUUUCCAAAACAAGUUCCCAGGCCAUGGUCAAUAUCAACAUUCAGGGGAAAUACAUUCUGUUCAUUGUAGAUAUGACAGUGAGAAUAUUUGCUGAAUAACAAUUAAGCUAUCUGAUUGCGUAAUAGUUAAAAGGUUUGUUUUUACCAUCUGUGAAUUAAAGCCAAAAAUAACAACCAAUUCAUAGAAUAUUGUGACGGUUAUAGGAGAUGCAGCUUGUCAGCUGCUCAGCUCAGCGGCCUGGGCAUGAUUAGAAUUCCACACAUAAUAGUGAUUACCAUCAGUAUUAUUAUUAUUAAGGCAACACAGUGAUCGUAGUAAUGGUAAAACAGAGAGAUCUACCUAAUCCAAAAUUCUAUUCAACAAGGGAGUUUCUACAUAUAGCCACUAUGGUUUCUAAUUUUCAAAGAAUCAGCAUAUAAUAAAAUGCUCUCAAUAAUAAAGCUGAACUGAAUAUAUUAUAAUAACUUAAUGAGGCAGAAGACAUUUGAGAUGCCUCAAUUAUCAAUGUGUUUCACAGAUUCAAAAGUGUAACUUUAUACAUUUAUUCAAUAGAUAAAACACUGACUAGGUCCGCUUAAAGUUGAAAUAGAUUUUUGGAUUCUCUCAAAGUAUAGGGCAAUAACAAAUAUAGAAGUUUUCUGAAAAAAAAUAAGCAAAAUAGAAAUAGUACUAUUAUUAGUUUUAAAAUAUUAUAAAAGAAUUUUAAAUGAGACAAAAAUAAUAUGAUGGCAAUAUAUGGCCUUUUACAAAGAGAGGAACUGAGGCAGGGAGGAGAAAUAAUUCUAGAAUGACAUGCUGGUUAGAGGUAUGAUGUGUCGGACCACAAGAAUGAUGUGAUUCUGACUUUUCCUUUAUUUACAAAUCACUUUGGAUAAACCGAUGGCUCUUGCUGAGCCCCUGGGUUGGUGGAGGAGUAACAUGCCUGGGAGUCGAGCAUCCUAAGACGUGCACCCUGAGGACUGCAGGAAAAGUGCAGAAAUUAGGUAGAAAUAGGGCUUGUUUAGCAUUCAUGAUGGCUAGGUGUCUUACUGCAGGUGUCUUAAGAAACUACCCAGUAACUCACUGAACCAGCAACUCUGUGCAUGGCCUCCUGAGAGGUGAGGGACACAAAGAUUUUAUCAAGAGUGAAGCAUGUGUCUGUGUUCAAGUAUCUUGCAAAAUGAAGACAAAAGAAGUAGUUUGCAAUUAGCUCUUAGUUCCUACCUUUCAAAGAAGCAUCCGCCAGUCAGGUGAGAUGAAACUGACCAUGAAGAGAAGCUUGUAUCUGUAUAAAAUGCAAACCUGUUUGGACAGCGGAAUGGGGUUUGCUUCAAACUUCAGGGUGCAUUUAUAUAA